Peromyscus eremicus (cactus mouse) is the source of this 5807-nucleotide long non-coding RNA. RefSeq lists it as uncharacterized. The transcript has 4 exons. Lineage: Eukaryota; Metazoa; Chordata; Mammalia; Rodentia; Cricetidae. The record is from RefSeq and is a predicted model, not a curated record.
CAGGCCUCACCUGAGGAUGCUGUCCAGGCAGUUGAUCUGUUGGUAGGAACAGCCGGGGGCUUCUUUCCUCUCUGGCUCCUCAGGGGCUAAUGCUAGUGGGGCUUGGUCAGAAGCAGGGGCCACCUCCAGUUCAGGGUUUGGGGACUGGCAGGGGACGACUUUGGCCUUGAAGGUCCCUGUAGCUGGGACAAGGAAAAGAAAAGGUAAAUGGGUUAGGAGUGAGGGUAAGGGGACCUCAGGCCUUCCUCCUCAUCCCAGCUCACCAAGGAUGCGGGGCCGAGGUGGAGGCUUGGCCCGGGACUCAAUGAAGAGUUGCUGUCCCUGAUGUUUGACCAGAUGCACGUCCUUACAGAUCUGCUGGAAAGUCACCUGUGGGAGAGCAGAGCACUGGGUAGCACUGGGGUGGCCAGUGCCAGGGCCCAAGUGUCAGAAGGUCUGGGGCCUAGGCAGGGUAGCAUGAGGGACUGGCAGAUUCCCAACAGAGAAUGGGAAAGGAGACAGAGGAGGUUACUCACUGGAGCAGGAGGCCCAGGCCCCUCGGCAUCGCCCCCAUUGCUAUCACUGGAGGAGCCAGGGCUAUGGAGAGGACCGGGCGACAUCAGAGGGCCGACUCCACAGAGCCCCGUGGGGCUGGAGCUGUGCACAGGCUGCAGCAGGGAGAAGAACGGGUCGGUCAGAGGUCUACAUCCUGCUUCCCGACCACUUCGUCCCUGACCUUCCUCAACUCUCACCUGCAACAGCAGUCGAUGGAUCUGCUCUGAGAGCUCCUGUAUGUCAGCGUCCAGGGACAGAGCCGGGCUGGGGGCUGGGGGAGUGAAGACGUCCUCAUUCAGGGGUGCCCUGCAGGAUGACGGUAAGGGUGACUACAGUCCCUUCCCUAACCCUAUCAUACUGCCCCAUCCGCAAUGCCAGCUCAGAGACAGGGCACACUUACGUGCGGACUUUAUGGCGGCCCAACACAAAAGCCACCUUGCGACUCCAGGGGUGUACAAAGCCGGCCCAGCUGGUGUCCAUGGUGACAUACUCCCCAUUCCGAGCACAGAAGCGAAUAGGAGAGUGGUCAAAGGGCUGGCCUGCCAGCUGCAGAACUGUGGGAGCAGAAGAAAAAGGUGUUAGUGGGUGUGAGAACUGAAUAACGUGGGGAGAGACACAGAGAUAUCCAAGAGACCAAGGCAUUGAGAGUCACCACCACAAAGGCAGCCAAGAAACCCUGGGGACAAGCAAGGAGGGCAAGAUGCGAACUCACUCUUCUUGUGAAUGGCCAGCAUGAGAGGCCGGUCCUCAGGAUGCAGAAAGAGGAGCACUGGAGCCCCCAGGAGAUCCUGGGGCAGGUAGCCCAGCAGGGGCGCGGCUCUGCAAUGACAAGAGGGCAUCAGAUCACGGCUUGGCCCUGGUUACCCACCUUCCUCCCAGUCUUUACCUUACCUUUCAUCUACAUCCUGGAAGAGGCAGCUGGGUGUGUGCCGUGUGGUGAAGAUCCUCUUGUCAGGAGGGAUCCGGGGAGCUGCAGCAUAAAACAUGAAGGUUUCAUCCACAAUGGUCUAGCUCCUCAGCCCUCCUCUCUGCCUAGGGUCUGGCUGCCCGGCAUGCCUCCUCUCGGCUCAGACCUGGCUUUAUGGCCCAUGGAGAGUGAGUCAUCUGGUGACUCAUACCAGAGAUGACACUGAGAAUCACUGACAUAUUCUCUUUCUCCUGUCACACCUCAGAGAUCUGUCUCAUCCUACUCUACCUCCAAGCAGGGCCUUAUAAAGACCCCUCUUAAAAUAUGUCCUAAAUCCUAAGGACCCAGCCCAUGCCUCCCAGACUCUCAUCUUGAACUUCACCCCAUCCUAGAGGGAAAAGCUUCCAUCAUCCCCCAGGCCAGGGCCCUAGCCUAUCCACCUUCAUAACCAGAGUGGAUGCGCUCUGCAAUGAGUAGGCAGCAUGGCUGUGCAGGGGCCCCAUCUGAGACCCGAAUCUUGGUCACAUAUGGGGUCAGGCGGAAUGGCUGGUACCGAGGCCCUGGAUCCCGGUCAGGACCUCCUCUGGCAAGGGAAAAAUGAACAUUAGAGGUUUCCAGUGGAAAGCUGCCCACCCCCUUGUCAAAGUCACAGCCCAUAUAACAGAGGCAGCAGGGGUGAGGAGGGGAGAAAGGCCUGCUCCUACUCCCACUCCCUACCUGAUUCGGCAGAAGACGGACUUUUCCUGGGCGAAGUCCUUGAGGCCUGAACCUAGACCAGAUGAGAAGACAGUCAGCACAGCACCGUCCCUUCCCGGCCUGAGAAGAACCCAGGAAAUGAAAGCUUGGGUCCAGGCUGCCCUCUGCAUAGCAUAAGGGCACUUUACCUGCAGAGGUCCCAGUGCCCCAGGUGGGCAGUCGAGAUGGUGUAGUGGAGCCAUAGAAGACACCCACAUCCUGGGGAGCUAGCAGCUCUGAGAAGCGGGCACCCCGAAACACAUCCCGCUUGCAACGCAGCAGGACGCCUGCCUGCUCCGAAAUAUAGACAAUCCGGCCUGUCAGGAAGGACACAGCCACGGAGAAGGUAUCCUAGGAUGGGACCAAGGUCAAGAGAAGAUUUAGGAGCUGCAGGAAUGGGGGUGAGGGUGUGUUAGGACGGAGGACCCACGCUGCAGCUGACCUGGUUCCUCAGAGUGUAUUCGGAUGUGAUAUGCUCCAGUUCCUCCAGGGUGUAAGUAGACAUGUCCAUGGCACAAGGCUCACCCUCCUCCAGACUCCACUGCUGAUAAUACUCCUGGUUAGCUGUAGGACAAGGGUAUUCAAGCCAUAUUCAGUAAGGAGACUGGUACCUACAACAGUCCAUGGCCUGGCCACACCCUGCCGGGAAGCACCACUCACCCUGCACCUGCUUGACACAGGCCAAGGCAUACUGCAGUGUGGCCAGGGUUCCAGAGCGGCCCUUGCCCCGACGCUCUGGUGGCAGUCGAAGUUUGAGCUCCCGCAGGGCAGUCAUGAGUUCUUUCUGGGUCCUGGCUCGAGCUGACUGUUCACUGCUACAAGGCCCACAAGGAAUGAAGGGGUGAAGACAUUAGCCCCAGAGUCUAGCCCCAGGCCCCAGGCAUCGGGUCCCACGGCCCUCAGGCCACACACCUGCAGCCACUGGUGGAUGGGUUGUCCUGCUCUGAGCUUGCACUCAGGAGGCUAUAGGCAAUGGAACUGCUCGGUGGGGAUGGGCUCUGAGAGUUUGUACUAGAAAAGAAGCAAAGAGCCCAAGGUGAGGGUCAUGUGAUCAACAGCGCCAUGGCAUCCCCUAGCUCUCCAGACCUCUGCUCCAGACUCUGCAGUAUGUGCACACACACACACACACACACCUCUUGCUGCUCUCGGUGGUCUCCAGCAGGGCUGAGUCCUUGCCAUUGCCAGAAGAGGAGCUGUGGGAACUCCGCUGAGAUGCACCCCUGGACUCGUGGCCAUUGGAUUCAUUGCCACUGGAACCGUUGCUGUUGGCGUCCGUAUCAUCAGCCAGGCUGCGGCCUGGACGAGGCCGGUGCUGUGGGGCCCCAGGGGAUGGGACUCCUCCAGGACAAAAAGGUUCUCCGGGCCUGGGGUCUCCUCCCCCAUCAGCCCCUUCUAGGGGGCCGCUCAUGUCUGGGCCAUGCAGUGGAGAACAGAACAGAGAAGGUGACGAGGCCACCACGGGUGCACGACGGGGCUUCUGAGGCCUGGAUAAGGGAGGUAGCCCUGUCCCUGAGGGCUGACUAAUUUAAUCACAGCACCUAGAAAAAGAAACCAAGAAGGAAGGUUUAGCAAAGCUCAGCCGUUAACCCCACAGCAUCUACUGGCCACAUUCAGUCCUUCCUCUGCCAGUCCCUCGCUGAUGGGAUUCAGGCCUGGGGCUUGCAAUAGAAAACUAAGUUGUUUCCGUUCCCCCUAAGGAUACCACAGGUAGGAAGGCAGCUCUCUUGGGCCUUCUCUUACGCCCCCUGCCAGAGUGGAGUGGGCACAGCCUGAACAAUUAACUAGAACUAUGGCUGUGGGACAAAGCUUGCAGGUUUUCUAUCCCCAAAUUCUCAUCAGGUCCCGACUUGGUCUGGGACUCUGAGGCCUCUCGGAGCAGGGGGUGAGCAGAUCGCCUCCUAUAUUUAGGCUUCCGGGCUAAUUUUAUCCGGGGGCGGUGCCACCCCCGCUGCACAUGCGCGUCGAUGUGCCUGGCCCCACCACGCGCUUCCGCCACAGCUACGGUCGCCAGGGAAACCGACGUCAGCCGCUGAGCUCAGCGGUUGCUGGAGGGACCACAGGAGGGCAGGAACGACCCCUCCCCCAACCCCUAUUGCUGUGUAAGUGGAAAACGGACACACUCCCACACUGGCCAAACCACCCCUAUACUGGCCAGCAAGGCCCGGGGAUCACCCAUCUUAACAAAUUCCCAGGGCCCAGGGGGCCAUGUGAAGAGAUGAACUACAGGGACUCCAGAAACAGGUCCUAGCCUCCCCAGGGAGAAAUACACGGCCUCUGCUCUCUGUGGAAACGCCCCCAUCCUAGUUCUUGAUCCAUCCUUCUGAUCAAGACACUGCUUUUCUUUCUCGGACCCCUGCCCGCUCCCAAACACCAGGACUGCGAUUACCACUUGCUAUAGAGAAGGACCCAGGCAUCUUUCCCAGUCCCCUACUUUCCUAGUUAACCCUACCACAGCAUCAAUGCCUCAGGUCGGGGACACACAACAACCAACAUACAGUUCUUCCUCUACUCCUUGUCUAACCACACCCCCAUCCCAAGUAUUUUCCGAGCACCGGAGAAAAGGGAAGGCUGCGGCCAACAGCAGGAACUAGCGCUGGAACAGGAUGUUCCAGCACGAAGCGGCUGACAUCACGACCGGCAUGGGGCCAGGAAUUGGAGGGAGGAAGGCAGAGACUGCAAAACCCUGGAGGGGUCUUUGUGCCAGGGUAAACCCGAGGACCCCCGAGUGACAAGAAAGGGGUAGAGGCCAUGUUCGCUAAAGGUCUGCUGUUGGGCUUAGGAUGGCUGCGCCGGAGAAGCAGGGCAGGAGGUAAGGACCUGACACACAGCCGACUGACGGUAAAACGUGAUGACUUUGUGUCUAUCAAGGAUAGACCCCUUUCUCCCUCCACAGCUCUCGAGGAUUUAGGUGUGAUUCCUCUGACCCAAAGAGCCAUUGCUCGCCCACCUCCGUAUCUGCCAUUUACACAGACAAAGGGUUUCAGCACUCCAACAGCCCCCACCUGAUCCCAAGGCCCAGGUUGUCAGGUCUCACCGUCCCCACAGUAACCAGGCUCUGCUGCCGUCAAUGGAGAAGAGGGGGCGGGAGACAGUGGUGACGUCAAAGCGGAGGAAGGAGGCGGGGCGAGGCAGCUGGGGAAUGUGGGGCAGGGAGGCUGGAGAGGCAGCGGUUUGGGAGGCAGCCAGCCCCAGAGGGCGGCGGCCAGCGCACUAGGGAACAUCGUGUUCUCUUGGCUGGUGGCCCAGGACAUGCACUCAGACUUGGCGCCUCCCCCAACCCACCGACAGCCGUCCUGUACAAAAGCCAAGGAUUCCUGGAGAGACGGUUCAACUGCCCUGGAGAGGCAAGGAUCCCCAUCGUCCAGCAAGUGCUACACACACUGGCGGGAACUAGCCACAUACUCUGAAUACAGCGGGCAACCGGAAGCACCGCCUCUUCCCUCUACGGCUACGUCUCAGUGAUGCUCCUGAAGUGUAUACAUGGUGACAGGGUUUGCGUACAGUGCUUGGAGAGUUCAAGAGAGGGGCUAAAGUGGCAAUCACACUGUUGUGAGUGCAAGGGCAGUAUGCCAUCGACAGCCAGCUUUAUGCCAGUGGGCUUUGUCUCAUCAAGCUGAUCCUUUCAGUCAUU